Hordeum vulgare subsp. vulgare (domesticated barley) is the source of this 125-nucleotide non-coding RNA. The record is from Rfam. Lineage: Eukaryota; Viridiplantae; Streptophyta; Magnoliopsida; Poales; Poaceae.
CAAGUACUCCCUUCGUCCGGAAAUACUUGUCCGAGGAAUGAAUGUAUCUAGAUGUAUUUUAGUUCUCGAUACAUCCAUUUCUAUCCAUUUUUGCGACAAGUAAUUCUGGACGGAGGGAGUAGUAG